This 21-nucleotide microRNA is filed under the name Mus musculus (house mouse). RNAcentral describes it as "mmu-miR-3084-3p". Lineage: Eukaryota; Metazoa; Chordata; Mammalia; Rodentia; Muridae. The record is from miRBase by way of RNAcentral.
UUCUGCCAGUCUCCUUCAGAC